Eptesicus fuscus (big brown bat) is the source of this 865-nucleotide long non-coding RNA. RefSeq lists it as uncharacterized. NCBI's taxonomy places the organism in Eukaryota, Metazoa, Chordata, Mammalia, Chiroptera, Vespertilionidae. The transcript is spliced from 2 exons. The record is from RefSeq and is a predicted model, not a curated record.
AGGGAGGGUAGAGGGGCCUGCUGGGAUUGGUCCGGGGAACUGGGAAAGGCUCUGGGCGGGGUUCCGCCGCCCCGCGGAACGCCGGGAAGGGGUCACUUCCAGAGGAAGGUUCCGGUUCCGGUUCAGGAGGUGGUUGAGUUGCCAGGCAACGCGGUUGGCGGGUUCCUUCGUGACGGGCGGUAACUGGACUGGAGGAGGCCUAGGUGCGUCUUUCCCAGCCUAGGUGAGCGACUCCGGUGCCUCCCUAAGGCCGCGACCGAAUGCGGCCGUUCAUGGCGGAAGCCGGGCCGGGCACUGGCGGACAGGCCUGCCGGGGCUGCGUCAUCGGGCCUGGCCACACGUCCCGGCUCUCCUGGCCCCGCCGCCCACGUGGGAGGGCAGGUCCAGACCCGGCCCGGCGGCUCCGGCCUCUGGCUCUCGUUUAUUUCCCUCAAGAAAAAGAAGAAAACCCUUUUAGGUUAAAAGUUGGUAAAGCGCUCUCGUCUGAGUGAUCGAUCCCACCUGGGUUUGGGGUUCGCUGACUCCUCACCCCACUUAAGCCCUUGGGCCUGGCCCCGGGGAAGGUUUGUGGAAUGGCCACGAGGACGGGAAUCGGCUCGCUGGACAAACGUUUUGUGAGCCGGUGCGUGCGCGGCACGGAGCCAGCGGGGAGCGAGAAGCAGGUAAAUCAGAGGAACAGGCACCAGGAGCCAGAAUACACAGGAAAUCACGGCCGGGAUGCAGAAGCAGAACCGGAAGUCCAGCAUGUGGUGCAUUUAACAGUAGAGAAUACCUUAUUUCCCAAAUCACCUAACGUUUACUCAUGCUCACAUUAUAGUAAGAUAUGUUGUUUUUUUAAAUAAACAUUGGCGAUUUGCUCCUGAAA